RNAcentral lists this long non-coding RNA (545 nucleotides) under Homo sapiens (human). RNAcentral's name for it is "non-protein coding lnc-APBA2-7:4". The record is from RNAcentral. Lineage: Eukaryota; Metazoa; Chordata; Mammalia; Primates; Hominidae.
CAGAGUGUGGGGGUUGUGAAAGGUGUGAUGGAUGUCAGAUGUUUCCUAUCAAUGGAUCCAGAUUCAAAUGCAGAAACUGUGAUGACUUUGAUUUUUGUGAAACGUGUUUCAAGACCAAAAAACACAAUACCAGGCAUACAUUUGGCAGAAUAAAUGAACCAGGCUUCAGCAGAAGAAACACUUCCUAUAAAUCUCGCCCAAACAGGAAAGGUAAGUGGCCUAAAAUUUUUCUAGUAUUUUCAAAAUGACCCAGUUACAAUAGGAAAUUUCUUCUUGUACUAUUGUCACUAAUCCCGACUCAAUAUCCUUUAAAGGACAAAGAUGCAUGCAUAAGUAAAAAUAUGACAGGUCACAAUCACGCCGGGGUGGUCCUGGGGCGAGGCCCAAGUUCCCUGCACGCGCCGGCACAAGCACACACACUGUGACGGGGAGGACGUUUACGUACCAUGUCCACACCACUCCAGACUUGGUGAGCGCCAGUAGGAACUGAGCUCCACACUCAAUCUGGCACACCCCCUGUCCAUUUAGUCUCUCAAUGUUCUGGG